GAUGAAGAACGCAGCGAAAUGCGAUAAGUAAUGUGAAUUGCAGAAUUCCGUGAAUCAUCGAAUCUUUGAACGCACAUUGCGCCCUCUGGUAUUCCGGGGGGCAUGCCUGUCCGAGCGUCAUUUGCAACCCUCAAGCCCGGCUUGUGUGAUGGGUGCCGUCCCCUACGGGACGCGCCCCGAAGGCAAUGGCGGCGUCGCGGUUAUCCGAUCAGCCAAAGUGUAUGGGGCUUUGUCACUCACUUUACGGCCCGGACCGGCGCCAGUCCGAAUCAAUCUUUUUUCUAAAGUUGACCUCGGAUCAGGUAGGGAAACCCGCUGAACUUAAGCAUAUCAAUAAGCGGAGGA
This 345-nucleotide unclassified non-coding RNA is filed under the name soil metagenome. RNAcentral describes it as "partial contains 5.8S ribosomal RNA, internal transcribed spacer 2, and large subunit ribosomal RNA". The stretch from base 1 to 120 matches the Rfam family "5.8S ribosomal RNA", at positions 35 to 154 of the family's 154-position model. The record is from RNAcentral.